RNAcentral lists this transfer RNA (69 nucleotides) under Cletus punctiger. RNAcentral's name for it is "tRNA-Gln". Lineage: Eukaryota; Metazoa; Arthropoda; Insecta; Hemiptera; Coreidae. RNAcentral also lists the same sequence under 2 other names. The record is from RNAcentral.
UAUGUAUUGGUGUAAGAUGCACUAAGAAUUUUGGAUUCUUAAGUUAUAGUUUAAUUCUAUAAUAUAUAA